GAUGAACGCUGGCGGCGUGCCUAAUACAUGCAAGUCGAGCGAACAGACGAGGAGCUUGCUCCUCUGACGUUAGCGGCGGACGGGUGAGUAACACGUGGAUAACCUACCUAUAAGACUGGGAUAACUUCGGGAAACCGGAGCUAAUACCGGAUAAUAUAUUGAACCGCAUGGUUCAAUAGUGAAAGACGGUUUUGCUGUCACUUAUAGAUGGAUCCGCGCCGCAUUAGCUAGUUGGUAAGGUAACGGCUUACCAAGGCGACGAUGCGUAGCCGACCUGAGAGGGUGAUCGGCCACACUGGAACUGAGACACGGUCCAGACUCCUACGGGGGCAGCAGUAGGGAAUCUUCCGCAAUGGGCGAAAGCUUGACGGAGCAACGCCGCGUGAGUGAUGAAGGUCUUCGGAUCGUAAAACUCUGUUAUUAGGGAAGAACAAAUGUGUAAGUAACUAUGCACGUCUUGACGGUACCUAAUCAGAAAGCCACGGCUAACUACGUG
Molecule: ribosomal RNA, 496 nt
Filed under: uncultured bacterium
Lineage: Bacteria
Description: partial 16S ribosomal RNA
Rfam family: Bacterial small subunit ribosomal RNA
Source: RNAcentral